UGGGGGAGAUACACAAACAUUCAAACCACAGCACUCAAUUAAUUAAUUAUGUCAAGUUAUCAUAGUUACUUGACUCAGGUGUUUUUGGGACUGCAGGCAGGGAGGAAGCAAGGCUUAGAAGAGUCAUCUACCACUCUCAAAAAUAAUACUGCUCGUCAGGAAGAGGAAAGUUCUUCUGGGAAGCAUCUGGCUAAUCUUUUUGGAAAGGUUCUGAGGAAAUUCUUAAAGAGGACCUAUUAUGCAAUCCUGGCUACAAUGCUGUAGACGUUCCUGUAAGGGUUCCUGUGGUUUCUAAUGUACAAAGAUGGACAAUUCCUCAGAUGGCCUCAGGAGACUGCUUUUCGAUCUGCACUGGGCAGAACCCUGGGAUUAAUUAACAAGGUGAGUGAUAUCUAUCACUUUUGGAUUCCAAGGAAGGAAAGACAAAGUGGUAUGAGGGCCCUUACAACACUUAAAAACGACAAGGGUACUUAGGUGGAGAGGAGCUGUUUUUUUUCCUGGUCUUUGUGACCAGGAUUGACACUC
This 525-nucleotide long non-coding RNA is filed under the name Pan troglodytes (chimpanzee). RNAcentral's name for it is "long non-coding RNA NONPTRT003527". The record is from RNAcentral. Lineage: Eukaryota; Metazoa; Chordata; Mammalia; Primates; Hominidae.